RNAcentral lists this ribosomal RNA (425 nucleotides) under uncultured bacterium. Its description in RNAcentral is "partial 16S ribosomal RNA". It matches the Rfam family "Bacterial small subunit ribosomal RNA", at positions 354 to 796 of the family's 1533-position model. The record is from RNAcentral.
GUGGGGAAUCUUGCGCAAUGGGCGAAAGCCUGACGCAGCCAUGCCGCGUGAAUGAUGAAGGUCUUAGGAUUGUAAAAUUCUUUCACCGGGGACGAUAAUGACGGUACCCGGAGAAGAAGCUCCGGCUAACUUCGUGCCAGCAGCCGCGGUAAUACGAAGGGGGCUAGCGUUGCCCGGAAUUAAUGGGCGUAAAGGGCGCGUAGGCGGACAGCUUAGUCAGAGGUGAAAGCCCAGGGCUCAACCUUGGAAUUGCCUUUGAUACUGGCUGUCUUGAGUUUGGGAGAGGUGAGUGGAACUCCGAGUGUAGAGGUGAAAUUCGUAGAUAUUCGGAAGAACACCAGUGGCGAAGGCGACUCACUGGCCCAAUACUGACGCUGAGGCGCGAAAGCGUGGGGAGCAAACAGGAUUAGAAACCCCGGUAGUCC